RNAcentral lists this long non-coding RNA (6109 nucleotides) under Erythranthe guttata (spotted monkey flower). RNAcentral's name for it is "long non-coding RNA (EGUT_LNC002079)". Lineage: Eukaryota; Viridiplantae; Streptophyta; Magnoliopsida; Lamiales; Phrymaceae. The record is from RNAcentral.
UCAAAGAGGGCUCGAUGUUUCAAGAUGUGAAGUUUAGAUAAUUGAAUAAAAAUUGAAGGAAAACGAUCGGUUUCAAAGAAUUUCAUACCGAUCAUUCAAUAACUGUUAUUCGAAGCAAAAUGGAAAUCGAAGAGUUGAACUCUCGAUAGGUGGGAUUUCUCAAAUAAUCACAAGAUUAACAUAAUCCAAUCAAUUUCAAAUAACGAUAAUAAAAAAUGAAAACGAAUAGAUCAAUUCAAUGAAAGGGGCAGAAUUCAAGUACUCGAGCGAUACAAUUACCCGAGUUUAUCAUAUUCCCAGAAAAGGUCAAGCAAGAGAACCCUCACCUUGGUCCAAUCAAGAGUACUCGUCGAUCACGGUUCCUCGAUCUCAAAACCUAAGCAAUAUUUAAACUAUAAGACACCAAAUUAUUUAUUAAAAUGAAAUAAUAUACACUCUACGUUUCCUAGCUUUAUAUGUUCUUAAGGUCGAAUAAUUCACUUACCAAUUCUAAAUUAAUCUAACCCCGUAACUAACAUCAAAACUUACCACAUAACCAUCGCGUUUAUGUUAACAGGACGAAGACCAAUAAAAUAUGUUCAUAUAUGACGACUUUUUUUUUUUUAACAUAAUAAUAAAACGUAUGUGCUGCCACAGUUUUAAAAAUUCAUAACAAAUUCCACGUUUAUCCAAAUAGCUCAUGUGAUAUACCGAAUGAAAGCUAACAAAUAAUACUACGAGUUCACAGAAGACUUUCACCCCAGAUUCUGAACCAAAAAUAGCAGAAUUUCCAAAAACCAGCACGUAACAGUACUGCCGAACAUUGAAAAUUCAUUUCUGGUACAACUUAUUUGAAAACUAAUAACAUGCUAUACAUAUCUCGAAACAGAACAAAUUAUAUAUCAAAUUAAAGCCAAGAACAAUAUCUAAGAGUUUAAUGAAGAAACCAUUUUCAAAUUAUGAGCAUAACAUAGUUGAAACAGCCCCCGAACAGGUUAAUAAAAACUGCCAGCAUUUACAAAAUCCUUUUUCUGGCAGUAUUUUUGAAAAAUUGUAAUAAUUCGAAAUGUUAUCCAAAUUUAACAAAUAGUAUAUGAAAUCGAACGUAACGAAUUCAUCUACAAAUGGACAGAAGACAUCAAACUCAAAUUAUAACUCGAAUAUACAGAAAACAGCCCGAAAAGAAUAAUCAUACGAGCUGCCAGAAUUGACAGUUUCAACGCCCAUAUUCCUCCGUUCAAAAAGCCUAUAGAACUCAAUCAUAUGGAACGAGCUUCAACAUAUAAUUAACGUAUUCCAGAAAAUCUAUGAUGUUUGAGAAGAAACGAUUUUAAAAUUCGAAUUCCAAAGCUCCCAAAUUCUGUUCCGAAAAUCAGAGUAACAACUAAAGUUAUAUUUUCGAAAAUUCCUUUGAACCUACUGUAGAGUCAAAAAUCAGUUUCAACAAGGGUUCUAAAAAUUGGGGAAAAUCAAUCAUUCGAACAAUAUUCAGCCUAUCCUACAAUUUUGAUGAAGAAAUAAAUCCGAAAUUUCAAUUCUAAAUACCUCUAAUUAAAUCCGAAAGGUUUUAGGAUCAGCUGAACUUCGCCGUCGGAUCACAACUAUCACCACCGGAGAAACAAGCCGGAAAUUUCCACCAAAUCGAAGCUUAUACAGAGGGCUUUCGAGCCCUAUACCCCGCUCGCCAAAACUCCGCCGGAAAGAUCGUCAAGUCACCAUCUUUGUCUCCGUCGAUUAAACCCUGGCUGCCUCGUAUUUUCUUGACUUCUCUCUAUGGUUUGUGAUAGAAGAUAUUUCUUGGGAUUAUGGGGAGGUUUUUCUUGCUGAGAUUAAGUGGAAGAUGGUGUGGAAUUUAUAUGCAGAAGGGGGGUUUUUAAAGAAGAUUGAUGAUCGGAUGAAGAUGAAGGGGAAGAUGACUCGUCGAUUAUAAUACGUGUCUUCUCCUUAAAUUUUACUUAAUCUUAUAAUUAUCCUCUUAAACGUCAGAUCCUUGCUGCCUAAGUCUAAAUAUAUAGAAUCAUUAUCUGCCUUAACUAUUCCUUAAUACUAUAUCAGCCCUUGUAAAUUACCUUAUUUACUCUUUUUCCCCAACUAUUUUUAUCAAUAACAUCUAAACCAUAUAAAUUCACCAUAUUACUAUAUUACCAUCAUUAAUGAAUAAACUUCAAUAAUAUAAAUGUAUAAACUAUUAUUAUAGAACAUAAUAAAAAUUAAGGGGUGUUACACUCUCCCCCUGUUAAAGAAAUCUGGUCCCCAGAUUUACACAUCGUUAAUAUUACCUGUGUGAAAAAGUUAAGGGUAAUGAGAUUAACCAAUAGGCUACACGACCUAUACGUUCACAAAUUUCAAAAGGUCCUAUAUAAUAACGUGGACUAAGCUUCCCUCCUUUUCCAAUACGUUUGAAUCCUUUUCUUGGCGACACUUUGAGAAACACCAUAUUGCCAACUUCAAACUUGAUGUUCUUUCUACGCCCAUUGCUCUAUUGCCGAUCUUGUGAGGCUUUCAUCCGUCGCUUGAUGAUAUGCACUUUAUCAAUAGCAUCUUGUAUUAGUUCCGACCUUAGCGCUCUUUCUUGACCGUCUUUGGUUACUCUCCAUCUAUCAAGUUCCCAAUGCAAUAGAGAUCGACUUACCAUAUAGCGCCUCAUAUGGUGCCCACUUGUAGUACGCGAAUUCGAUUUACGUAACUUUCUCUAUAAUCCAUGGCACAUGCUCUCAAACAUGUCCUCCAAAAAUCCAAUCACUCCCUUUGAUUGCCCAUUCGUUUGAGGAUGUGCAAUAUAACUAAAUGGAAGUUGUUCCCACGUUUUUUUUCUUAUGCAAUCUAAUUGGGCAUGGUGCUUAUGCAACCAAUCCAUCCCCAAAAUAAGAUCAUAACCUAUGAUUAGAAGAUUUGCACAGUCUUCUUUACUCUCUAACUCGAUGGCACAAGCUCUACACAUACUAUAUUAGUAAGUAUGUUGGAGCCUAUUGCAGUGCUUACCUCGAAAUUAUAAGGUAAUGAUUAGCCUUCUAAAACUAACUCAUUUGCGAAAGACGAUACGAUAAACAAAUGAGUUGUUCCGGGACUAAAUGAGGUUUACCGCAUUUACCAAGUAGACAAACAUUACCUUCUACGACAGCGGUUGGCUCGGCAGUUUCGUCCACCCCAGCAAGUGCAUAAGCGCGGGCAGGAAUUUUGGCCUUGCUUCGCUGCUCCAUUGGAGCCUUUCCUUUUUGUCCUUGUGGAAUAUGAAGAGAUUCUUGUCUCCUACGACAAUCACGUGCGAUAUGAUCAGCACUUCCACAAAGAACACACAAUCCUUUCUUCCUUCGACAAUCAUUUUCUUCAUGAUUGGAGAGUCCGCAAAAUCCACACUUCCUCUGCAUCACUGGAUGGGGGGGAGCGCCGCUCUGAUGAUUUGACACUAGAUUACGAUUUGUAAAACGCUCUUGAUCCAUUCUUGGAUAUUUCGGAUCCGAAAAGGGAUUUCGAUUUGAAUUUCCUCUCAAGUUUGUAAAUUUAGUUCUCUUCGCUCGCUCUUCAAAGUGGGUCAACUCUCGCAUUUCCGACUCGAUCUGCAUCGCCUUAUUAAUCGUCGCGCUAUAAUUUGUUGCAUCCGAAGAAAUUAUAGCCCAACGAAGUUCUAAUUUUAAUCCUUCAAUGAAUUUGCGUACUUUGCGAGUGGAGCAUAGCGAAUUAGAUAAUUGAAACGAGCUUCGUACUGUGCCACCGUCAUUGUGCCUUGAGUAAGAUUCAUAAAGUCCCUCUCUCUAGCAUUUUUCACCACUUGUGGUAUGAACUUCUCAUUGAAUUCUUGGACGAAGUUAGCCCAAGUUCGAGCAUUGUUGUUUUGAGCCCACUUCUGAUUCACUACACGCCACCAAUGACAUGCAGUUUCUUCUAGCUGGAAAGCGGCAUAACUAACCUUUUGAGAGUCAGAAUAGUUAGUAAUUUCAAAAAUCUUUUCCAGCUCGUUAAGCCAAUUUUCUGCCUUGCGAUCAUCAGGCUCGCCUACGAAUUUCGGUGGUCGAAAUCGAAGAAAUCUCUCAAACCUUUGGUCCUCCGUAGGCAUCGCAUGUUCGGCCAUUGGCACGCCCGUCUGUGGUGGUUGUUGACAGAAUUGCAUAAAUUGUUGCCACAUAGUUAGCAUUGAUUGUACUUCUGGCGUUGUUGCCUCUCGAGGAACUUGUGGUGCUUCGGUCGCUUCGUGAGUCUUAGUAUUAUUUGGUUCCAUCAUGGUUUCAUCGUCUUCAGGGAUAUGAGACGAACUAUCGUGACGAUUUGGAGAUAUCGCCAAUGAACAUGCUUGAGUUAGGCUCUCGGGAAGUUUCCCCAGAAAAGACAUUCUGGGUCAGGUUAUAGAAGGUCAAGGUCAGGUUAUACAGAGGUUAUACAAGGUCAGGUUUUACAGUUAGUGUCAAUUGACAUGAUAUCAAUUAUGCGCGACACUAACUCGGAUUAAUUCUAGUAUAGGAGUAUAUGUACGAACACGAAAAUAUAUAGAAUAACCUAGAAAAGGUAUCUUUACUAAAUGAUAGUGAUCAUAUAUACUCGAAUACGAGUUUGAUUUACAAGAGUUAAUGAGGUUACUAUAUAUCAGCUCUUAAUACCUAGAUAACAUCGAAUAAAUAGCAUAUAUCGAGGCAUGUGACUAUAACCGUGUGCUUCAAAAGCCCUUAUACACAUAUCUAUGAUAGACAGGCUUUCUUACUACGCAUAAAGAGAACAUCAUAAAUGCAUAUGCUAGAUAAAACAGUCAACUACUGUAGCAAACAUUGUGACGGCUUAUGAGAAGACUACGUAGCCUAACUCGAUCGUAAUCAGAUUCAACAUAGGUGAUAGCGCAUGUAGGUUCAUUAUUAAUCACUAAAAGAGGGAAUAAGUCGAGAUCUACGUCGAACGCAUUCUCCAAAAGGCAUCUAGAUUUGCUAAAUUCGUAAUUUGUGGAAGAGCCUAAACCCUAAGCUCUGAUACCACCUGUGACGCCCGCCUUCUAUGAAGCGUUUGUCAAAAUUACUCUAUUGAAAGAAUCUGUCUAUAUUUUUUUUCUUCUUGAAUAAUACUAAUCAAACUAUAGUUCACAAAAAUACGUACGAUUUAUUUAUUAACAACCUCAUGUCUAGCAAGGUAAAGUACAAAGGUUCCGGACAUUUACAACAGCAGUUUCUAGCUUAUGAGAUUACAAUACUAUAACAUAAAUAAAUUCAAACGCUGAUAUUUAUAAUACAAGACAACGAUUAUUCUUAACUUAAUCGAACCACUAUUUUACAAAUAUAAACAAGGUAGUUACUCGAACGGGAAUUCCUCUGAUGCAUUCAAGCCGCACCUGUGUCUGAGAAUAUGACAGAAUAAAGUAGAGGGAUAAGUCAUAGAAGACUUAGUGAGGUGAAAUAUAAGAAUAACGAGUGACGACAUGAUCUGAGAGAGAGUUCAAUGAUCGAACCAUUAGGUGAUAUCGAAAAUAGAAGCGUUUAACGGUUAUAUUUCGAUUGGAAAUUCAAGAAUAAUAGUAAGAAUGAUCAAUCGAUUUUCCGAUCAAUAGAGAUAAGAAUACACCUACCUUGUGACUCCCGUAGCCAUUUACUACCUUAUUCACCGAUCAGGGAAUGACCCUGUAAUGCAAUGUGGCAUGCCCGGGCGCAUGCCGGUUUAGCCCGAAACCCAACUAACCUCCAGUUGUGUACGGGUCUAAACCUAUGUGGGUACUGUUGGAGAGACUACCCACCGUCGGCCCGAUACCGCCCAGCGGUCACCUCCAAACAGCCCCGGGCCCAUUAAUAUCCAUUGUCCUUGAGGCGUCCCAAAAGGACUUCAUCGGUCAUAUAAGAAGACCAUAUUAUCCGAAUUAUUUCAGGAUUUCAAAGACAAAAGAAUUCCGAAGAAAUGGGAUCGAGUGAAAGGUUUCAAAGAGGGCUCGAUGUUUCAAGAUGUGAAGUUUAGAUAAUUGAAUAAAAAUUGAAGGAAAACGAUCGGUUUCAAAGAAUUUCAUACCGAUCAUUCAAUAACUGUUAUUCGAAGCAAAAUGGAAAUCGAAGAGUUGAACUCUCGAUAGGUGGGAUUUCUCAAAUAAUCACAAGAUUAACAUAAUCCAAUCAAUUUCAAAUAACGAUAAUCAAAAAUGAAAACGAAUAGAUCAAUUCAAUGAAAG